ACCUCUCCACCGCUCCCUGAGGUCUCACGCAGAGCUCCAACCCACUUCGGCUUGGAUUUUCCACUCUCGCGGUGCCUGCAGGAAUCGAACUCUCAGGACCUUGCAUUUACCAGGCAGGGACUGUGCCUCUGCGCUACAUCCUGGGCAUGAGAUGAAAAAUUUUAAACAUGAACAAAGAAUUAACUUCUAUGCUGCUAAGAACCAAGUCCAUUUUGAAAAACGACUUUGCAAUGUGAAAAGCCUGAGUCUACAUCCUCGUUCCUUCUGGCCCAGUGGUGUGAACCUUUUAGAGGGGUGAGUUUUUCUUACCCCACUUCUUGGCAGGGAUCACAAGCCCAGGAAUGUUGGAAGAGGCAGGAAAGCUGACUCUGGCCUGGAGGAAGAGGGCAGCCCUGCCCACACCACGUUUUACUGGCCUUUCAGCCUGUAAGCAUUAAGAAAUGAACAUAUAUAUUUCUUUUUUACUGAUUGUUUUUCUUUGAAGAAUUGCUUUCCUUCUUUCUUUUUUUUUAUCAUUUGUUGAAUUGACC
Molecule: long non-coding RNA, 530 nt
Filed under: Heterocephalus glaber (naked mole-rat)
Lineage: Eukaryota; Metazoa; Chordata; Mammalia; Rodentia; Bathyergidae
Description: lncRNA (ENSHGLG00000049101.1)
Source: RNAcentral